CUACGGGAGGCAGCAGUCGAGAAUCUUCCACAAUGGACGAAAGUCUGAUGGAGCGACAUUUCGUGAUGGAUGAAGCCCUUCGGGGUGUAAACAUCUUUUAUCUGGGAAAAACUUAAUGAUUGUACCAGAUGAAUAAGGGGAUCCUAAUUCUGUGCCAGCAGGAGCGGUAAUACAGAAUCCCCGAGCGUUACCCGGAUUUAUUGGGCGUAAAGGGUGUGUAGGUGGUCAAGUAAGUUCUAAAUUAAACCUCAUCGGCUUAACCUUUGAGCUGUUUAGAAUACUGCUAGACUAAGAGGGCGUUAGAGGCAAACGGAACCGAUGGAGUAGGGGUGAAAUCCGUUGAUAUCAUCGGGAACACCAAAAGCGAAGGCAGUUUGCUGGGGCGACCCUGACACUGAAACACGAAAGCGUGGGGAGCAAAAGGGAUUAGAUACCCUUGUAGUCCACGCCGUAAACGAUGGAUGCUGGCUAUUGGCAGUGUCGACCCUGCCAGUGGCGAAGCUAACGCGUUAAGCAUCCCGCCUGAGAAGUACGAACGCAAGUUUAAAACUCAAAUGAAUUGACGGGG
Molecule: ribosomal RNA, 568 nt
Filed under: uncultured bacterium
Lineage: Bacteria
Description: bacterial SSU rRNA
Rfam family: Bacterial small subunit ribosomal RNA
Source: RNAcentral